RNAcentral lists this ribosomal RNA (254 nucleotides) under uncultured bacterium. RNAcentral describes it as "partial 16S ribosomal RNA". It matches the Rfam family "Bacterial small subunit ribosomal RNA", at positions 524 to 776 of the family's 1533-position model. The record is from RNAcentral.
UACGAAGGUCCCAAGCGUUAUCCGGAUUUAUUGGGUUUAAAGGGUGCGUAGGCGGGUUAUUAAGUCAGUGGUGAAAGCUCCCAGCUCAACUGGGAAACUGCCAUUGAUACUGAUAGUCUUGAGUAUGAUUGAAGUGGGCGGAAUGUGUCAUGUAGCGGUGAAAUGCUUAGAUAUGACACAGAACACCGAUUGCGAAGGCAGCUCACUAAGCCAAUAACUGACGCUGAUGCACGAAAGCGUGGGGAGCAAACAGG